CACGUAGGAGGCAAACGUUAUCCGGAUUUACUGGGCGUAAAGCGCGUGUAGGUGGUUCUGUAAGUAGGGCGUGAAAGCUCCCGGCUCAACUGGGAGAUGCCGUUCUAAACUGCAGAGCUAGAGGAUGGUAGAGGGAGGUGGAAUUCCAGGUGUAGCGGUGGAAUGCGCAGAUAUCUGGAGGAACACCAGUGGCGAAGGCGGCCUCCUGGACCAUUCCUGACACUCAGACGCGAAAGCUAGGGUAGCAAACGGG
Molecule: ribosomal RNA, 253 nt
Filed under: uncultured prokaryote
Description: partial 16S ribosomal RNA
Rfam family: Bacterial small subunit ribosomal RNA
Source: RNAcentral